This 253-nucleotide ribosomal RNA is filed under the name uncultured bacterium. Its description in RNAcentral is "partial 16S ribosomal RNA". It matches the Rfam family "Bacterial small subunit ribosomal RNA", at positions 524 to 776 of the family's 1533-position model. The record is from RNAcentral.
UACAGAGGGUGCGAGCGUUAAUCGGAAUUACUGGGCGUAAAGCGCGCGUAGGCGGUUUUGUAAGUCGGGUGUGAAAUCCCCAGGCUUAACCUGGGAACUGAAUUCGAGACUGCAUUGCUAGAGUAUGGGAGAGGGAAGUGGAAUUUCCGGUGUAGCGGUGAAAUGCGUAGAUAUCGGAAGGAACAUCAGUGGCGAAAGCGACUUCCUGGACCAAUACUGACGCUCAUGUGCGAAAGCGUGGGGAGCAAACAGG